Molecule: transfer RNA, 66 nt
Filed under: Nesophrosyne ogradyi
Lineage: Eukaryota; Metazoa; Arthropoda; Insecta; Hemiptera; Cicadellidae
Description: tRNA-Ile
Source: RNAcentral
GAUGAAAUGCCUGAAAAAGGAUUAUUUUGAUAGAAUAAAACAUGUAUAUUCCCUAUACUUUCAUUG